This 253-nucleotide ribosomal RNA is filed under the name uncultured Alphaproteobacteria bacterium. RNAcentral's name for it is "partial 16S ribosomal RNA". It matches the Rfam family "Bacterial small subunit ribosomal RNA", at positions 524 to 776 of the family's 1533-position model. Lineage: Bacteria; Pseudomonadati; Pseudomonadota; Alphaproteobacteria. The record is from RNAcentral.
UACGAAGGGGGCUAGCGUUGUUCGGAAUUACUGGGCGUAAAGCGUGCGCAGGCGGUCUUCCAAGUCAGUGGUGAAAGCCCGGAGCUCAACUCCGGAAUUGCCAUUGAAACUGUGAGGCUUGAGGACGAGAGAGGUGAGUGGAAUUCCCAGUGUAGAGGUGAAAUUCGUAGAUAUUGGGAAGAACACCGGUGGCGAAGGCGGCUCACUGGCUCGUUUCUGACGCUCAGGCACGACAGCGUGGGGAUCAAACAGG